AUGCUUUCUCAGUCUCUGCUCGCGCUUGGUUUGCUCCUCCUGCUGAGCCUGAGCCUCGACGGAGAGGUGGCUCUAGCGGCGGAAGACGGCGAGUUCGCCUACCAAGGCUUCGCCACAGCGAACCUUACGCUGGAUGGCCUCGCCACCGUCAUGCCCAACGGCCUCCUGCUGCUCACCGACACGGAGUCCGCGAACACGGGCCAUGCCUUCCACCCCGCGCCACUCCAGUUCCUCGAAAGUUCCACCACGACGACGAAUAGCACCACCAUGGCGCGGUCCUUCUCCGUGACCUUCGUGUUUGCCAUUUCGUCCAGGUAUGAUGGCCUGACCAGCUACGGGCUUGGGUUCGUGGUCGCUCCGACCUCGAACCUCUCGGCUGCGAACGGCGGGCGAUACAUGGGCCUCCUCAACGCGACAAACGGCACGGCGAGCGACCGCAUCCUGGCGGUCGAGCUCGACACCAUCAUGGACGUCGCGUUCCGCGACAUCGACAGCAACCACGUCGGCAUCGACGUCAACAGCCUCGUCUCACGGCAGGCCAAGCCGGCUGGGUACUACAGCAACGAGAACGGCGCCUUCCAAGAUCUGAGGUUGAACAGCCGCAGGCCGAUGCAGGUGUGGGUGGACUACGACGCCCAAGCCAGGUGAAUCAAUGUGACAUUAGCACCUGUGCAGGUACCAAGGCCCAGGAAUCCUCUGCUCUCCGAGGUUAUUGAUCUCUCCACGGUCAUGGUGGACGAAAUGUACGUCGGCUUUUCUGCUUCUAGCGGUACUCUCGGUGACAAUCACCACUCUGUCCUUGGAUGGAGUUUCAGCUUCGACGGACCCGCCCCGACGCUUGACUUCUUCAAGCUUCCCGCCCUGCCACGCCUAGGUCCCAAGCCUCGGUCCAAGAUCUUGAACAUCGUGUUGCCACCAACUUGGGUAUCGCUUGUCAUUGCCGUGCUAGCUGCCGUAUUCUUCUUCUUGUGGCAUCGGCGCUGAUUUGCUGAGGUGAGAGAAGACUGGGAGGAUGAGUUCGGCCCACAUCGUUUUGCAUACAAGGAUUUAUUUCAUGCCACCGAGGGGUUUUCUAGUAGGAAUUUACUUGGAGUGGGAGGAUUUGGAAGAGUGUGCAGAGGAUUGCUUUCCACAUCCAAUUUGGAGGUUGCCGUCAAGAGGGUGUCACAUGAUUCGAAACAAGGGCUAAGGGAGUUCAUUGCGGAGGUGGUGAGCAUUGGCCGUCUCCACCACCGGAAUCUCGCCCGGUUACUAGGCUACUGCCGUCGAAAGGGUGAACUUCUCUUGGUUUAUGAGUACAUGGAAAAUGGUAGUCUUGACAAGUAUUUGUAUACUCAAAAUAAGCCGGCUCUACAUUGGUCUGAGAGGUAUCGGAUCAUCAAAGGUGUUGCAUCAAGCUUGUUGUAUCUUCAUGAGGAAUGGGAGCAAAUUGUCAUCCAUCGAGAUAUAAAGGCUAGCAAUGUGCUCUUGGACAGCCAGAUGAAUGGACGGCUCGGUGAUUUUGGUCUAGCAAGGUUAUACGACCAUGACACAGUUUCUAAAACAACACAUGUGGUGGGCACUAUGGGGUACCUUGCACCGGAACUUAUACGCACCGGGAAGGCAACACCCUUAACCGAUGUGUUUGCAUUUGGUGUGUUUCUCCUUGAGGUCGCAUGUGGGCGUAGGCCAAUCAAAGAGAACACACAAACAAUGUUGAUCGAAUGGGUGCUUGAACACCACCGCAAUGGAUCAUUUAUUGAUGUGGCAGAUCCAUGGCUCAUGGGCAAUUUCAACAUAGAGGAAGCCACCCUCGUGCUCAACUUAGGAUUAUUGUGCUCCCACCCAUCAUCAAGUGCAAGGCCUAGCAUGCGAAAGGUCGUGCAAUACCUGGACCGUGGUCAGUCAAUUCCUGACCUGUCUCCAACCUAUGUGAGUUACAACAUGAUAGCGAUGAUGCAUAAAGAAGGGUCUGAUUCAUACAAAAUGGCGUGCACUUUGUCGAAUACUAGCAUUUGCUUUGUAUCUGAAUGUAUAAAGGGUAGUAUAGACUUUUCACAAAUUGUACUCACUUUUCUAUGUAUACAAUGUGUGGCCUUGGCGGCGGAAGACGGCCGGUUCGCCUACCAAGGCUUCGCCACCGCGAACCUCACGCUGGAUGGCGUCGCCGCCGUCACGCCCAACGGCCUCCUGCUGCUCACCGACACGGAGUACCAGACAACAGGCCAUGCCUUCCACCCCGCACCACUCCGCUCCACCGCGACGGCGAACAGCGCCGCCAAUGCGCGGUCCUUCUCCGCGUCCUUCGUGUUCGCCAUUAGCUCCAGAUACGAUGGCCUGACCAGCUACGGGCUUGCGUUCGUCGUCGCGCCGACCUCGAACCUCUCAGCUGCCGAGAGCGGGCGGUACCUGGGCCUCCUCAACGGGACAAACGGCACGGCCAGCGAUCCCAUCUUGGCGGUCGAGCUCGACACCAUCAUGGACGUCGAGUUCCGCGACAUCAACAGCAACCACGUCUGCAUCGGCGUCAACAGCCUCAUCUCACGGCAGGCCAAGCUGGCUGGGUACUGCAGCGACGAGAACGGCACCUUUCAAGAGCUGAGGCUGAACAGCCGCCAACCGAUGCAGGUGUGGGUAGACUAUGAUGCACAGGCCAGACGACUCAACGUGACAUUAGCGUCCGUGCAUGUACCAAGGCCCAAGAUUCCUCUACUCUCCGAAGUCAUUGAUCUCUCCACAGUCAUGGCAGACAAGAUGUACGUUGACUUUUCAGCUUCCGGAGGUUGGGGCGUAGGCACACACCACUAUGUCCUUGGAUGGAGCUUCAGCUUGGAUGGACCCACCCCGCUGCUAGACUUCUCCACGCUUCCUGUCCUACCACGCCUGGGUCCCAAACCUCAGUCAAAGAUCUUGGAUGUCGUGCUGCCACUGGCCGCGGCAUUGCUUGUCAUUGCAAUGCUAGCUAUCAUCUUCUUCUUCUUGUGGCAUCGUCGUCGAUUUGCUGAGGUACGAGAAGAUUGGGAGGACGAGUUCGGCCCACAUUGUUUCGCGUACAAGGAUCUAUUUCAUGCCACUGAGGGGUUUUUUGGUACGAAUUUACUUGGUGUGGGAGGAUUUGGAAGAGUGUACAGAGGAGUGCUUUUUUCGUCCAACUUGAAGGUUGCGGUGAAGAGAGUGUCACAUGAUUCGAAACAAGGAAUAAGGGAGUUCAUUGCUGAGGUGGUGAGCAUUGGUCGUCUCCGCCACCAGAAUCUUGCGCGGUUACUAGGCUAUUGCCGGCGAAAGGGUGAACUUUUCUUGGUUUAUGACUACAUGGAAAAUGGUAGUCUUGACAAAUACUUGUACAAUGGAAACAAGCCAACUCUACAAUGGUCCGAGAGGUAUCGGAUCAUCAAAGUCACUCUCGUGCUCCUACCCAUCAUCCAGUGCAAGGCCUAGCAUGCGGAAGAUCGUGCAAUACCUGGACCGUGCAAUACCUGUCUCCAACUUACGUGAGUUACAACAUGUUAGCAAUGAUGCAGCAUGAAGGGUUCGAUUCGUACAUAAUACCGUCCAAUUCGUCGAAUAGCACUGUGUGUCGUCAGUCUUCGGUGACAAUUCUACAGGAGGGGAGGUGAAGGCUUGCAAGUGACGCCUCUUGUUUUUGUUUCUUGUCUCAUUGUUCCUUUAAGUGCUUGUAAUCCACUUCUGAUGUGAGCUUUCCUUUGAAUAUCUUGUGAACCAGGUAUGCUGGGGGAGCUCUUUUACUAAUGUACGAAACCGAGUUUUCAUAGUGAUAUUUCUAUCUUGUACAUAAGUUUAGUGGUCAUUAGUGAUAUUACCUCAACUUUCCAGUGACAGUCUCUAGCAAGUCGAUCUGCACCCAUGCACAAUUCUCCCAAAUUAAAUGAUUCACCUAGGUACGCUUACUCUAUGCUAGUUAGAGCAUUUCUAACCGAUCCCCUAAAAUUUAGCGGAGUAAAAGGCUUAGUGAAGGGCUUAGUGGAGUAUAUAUAUACUGCACUAGGUUUUGGCUGGACUUAGCCGAUCCCCUAAAUAUAACGAAGUAAAUUUUUGUUUUUUUAAACUUUGCAAUUCUAGUAUAAAUUGCAACUACAUAUUGGCACACAUAUAUAAACUAAACAUAGUUUUCCACUAGUGGUUGUGCUGGAUUGUGUUGAUGUGGGAGCUCUUGUGUUCGAUUCCUGCUGGGAGCAAUUCUUUUUAGAUUUUCCACUGUUUCACUACAAGUCACAAAACUGCAAGUCCACUACGCACGUCGUUUGUUGCUGGGCCAGCCCAGUUUACUGCUCCCUGUACGGUCUGGGUGACGUAUUGUGUUCGAUUCCUGCUGGGAGCAAUUCUUUUUAGAUUUUCCACUGUUUCACUACAAGUCACAAAACUGCAAGUCCACUACGCACGUCGUUUGCUGCUGGGCCAGCCCAGUUUAUUGCUCCCUGUAUGGUCUGGGUGACGUAUUUCGUAAAAGGACCAUCCUGCCCUUUCUUAUGAAGAGGUAUGACCAGAUCUGGUUCGUCGACGUGUCUAAGGGGGUUGUAUCGAAAAAGAAGUGGGCUGGAAUAUUUCUAAAACUGAAAUUCAAAACCAUGUGCAG
RNAcentral lists this ribosomal RNA (4573 nucleotides) under Triticum aestivum (bread wheat). RNAcentral's name for it is "partial small subunit ribosomal RNA". The record is from RNAcentral. Lineage: Eukaryota; Viridiplantae; Streptophyta; Magnoliopsida; Poales; Poaceae.